GAUGAACGCUGGCGGCGUGCCUAAUACAUGCAAGUCGAGCGAACAGACGAGGAGCUUGCUCCUCUGACGUUAGCGGCGGACGGGUGAGUAACACGUGGAUAACCUACCUAUAAGACUGGGAUAACUUCGGGAAACCGGAGCUAAUACCGGAUAAUAUAUUGAACCGCAUGGUUCAAUAGUGAAAGACGGUUUUGCUGUCACUUAUAGAUGGAUCCGCGCCGCAUUAGCUAGUUGGUAAGGUAACGGCUUACCAAGGCAACGAUGCGUAGCCGACCUGAGAGGGUGAUCGGCCACACUGGAACUGAAACACGGUCCAGACUCCUACGGGAGGCAGCAGUAGGGAAUCUUCCGCAAAGGGCGAAAGCCUGACGGAGCAACGCCGCGUGAGUGAUGAAGGUCUUCGGAUCGUAAAACUCUGUUAUUAGGGAAGAACAAAUGUGUAAGUAACUAGGCACGUCUUGACGGUACCUAAUCAGAAAGCCACGGCUAACUACGUG
RNAcentral lists this ribosomal RNA (497 nucleotides) under uncultured bacterium. Its description in RNAcentral is "partial 16S ribosomal RNA". It matches the Rfam family "Bacterial small subunit ribosomal RNA", at positions 28 to 507 of the family's 1533-position model. The record is from RNAcentral.